RNAcentral lists this ribosomal RNA (301 nucleotides) under uncultured bacterium. RNAcentral's name for it is "partial 16S ribosomal RNA". It matches the Rfam family "Bacterial small subunit ribosomal RNA", at positions 509 to 809 of the family's 1533-position model. The record is from RNAcentral.
CAGUCGCCGCGGGAAUACGUAGGGUGCAAGCGUUAAUCGGAAUUACUGGGCGUAAAGCGUGCGCAGGCGGUUAUAUAAGACAGAUGUGAAAUCCCCGGGCUCAACCUGGGAACUGCAUUUGGGACUGUAUAGCUAGAGUACGGCAGAGGGGGAUGGAAUUCCGCGUGUAGCAGUGAAAUGCGUAGAUAUGCGGAGGAACACCGAUGGCGAAGGCAAUCCCCUGGGCCUGUACUGACGCUCAUGCACGAAAGCGUGGGGAGCAAACAGGAUUAGAUACCCCAGUAGUCCCUGUCUCUUAUAA